AUCCAACUGACGAGUCCCAAAUAGGACGAAACACGCGUCAAACUGGGU
Molecule: non-coding RNA, 48 nt
Organism: Schistosoma haematobium
Lineage: Eukaryota; Metazoa; Platyhelminthes; Trematoda; Strigeidida; Schistosomatidae
Source: Rfam